Otolemur garnettii (small-eared galago) is the source of this 264-nucleotide non-coding RNA. Lineage: Eukaryota; Metazoa; Chordata; Mammalia; Primates; Galagidae. The record is from Rfam.
GCUAGGCGUUGUGGCGGGCGCCUGUAGUCCCAGCUACUCAGGAGGCUGAGGCAACAGAAUCACCUAAGCCCGGGAGUUGGGGGUUGCUGUGAGCUGUGUGAUGCCAUGGCACUCUACUGAGGGCCCUGAAGUGAGACUCUGUCUCUAAAAAAAAAAAAGAGACAGAGUCUCACUUUAUCACCCUUGGUAGAGUGCUGUGAUGUCACACUGCUCACAGCAACCUCCAACUCCAACUCCUGGGCUUAGGCGAUUCUCUUGCCUCAG